GAUGAACGCUGGCGGCGUGCUUAACACAUGCAAGUCGAACGAGAAAUGUAGACGGAAACCUUCGGGCGGAAGCCUUCAUUUCGAGUGGCGGACGGGUGAGUAACGCGUGGGUAACCUGCCUCAUACAGGGGGAUAACAGUUGGAAACGACUGUUAAUACCGCAUAAGACCACAGCAUCGCAUGAUGCGGGGGUAAAAACUCCGGUGGUAUGAGAUGGACCCGCGUUCGAUUAGCCAGUUGGCGGGGUAACGGCCCACCAAAGCGACGAUCGAUAGCCGAUCUGAGAGGAUGACCGGCCACAUUGGGACUGAGACACGGCCCAAACUCCUACGGGAGGCAGCAGUGGGGAAUAUUGCACAAUGGGGAAAACCCUGAUGCAGCGACGCCGCGUGAGUGAAGAAGUACUUCGGUAUGUAAAGCUCUAUCAGCAGGGAAGAAAAUGACGGUACCUGAGUAAGAAGCCCCGGCUAACUACGUG
RNAcentral lists this ribosomal RNA (478 nucleotides) under uncultured bacterium. RNAcentral describes it as "partial 16S ribosomal RNA". It matches the Rfam family "Bacterial small subunit ribosomal RNA", at positions 28 to 507 of the family's 1533-position model. The record is from RNAcentral.